GAUCCUGGCUCAGAUUGAACGCUGGCGGCAGGCCUAACACAUGCAAGUCGAGCGGAUGAAGAGAGCUUGCUCUCUGAUUCAGCGGCGGACGGGUGAGUAAUGCCUAGGAAUCUGCCUGAUAGUGGGGGACAACGUUUCGAAAGGAACGCUAAUACCGCAUACGUCCGUACGGGAGAAAGCGAGGGGUACCGUCGGUCUGCGCUAUCAGAUGACGCCGUAGGUCGGAUUAGCUAGUUGG
Molecule: ribosomal RNA, 238 nt
Filed under: uncultured bacterium
Lineage: Bacteria
Description: partial 16S ribosomal RNA
Rfam family: Bacterial small subunit ribosomal RNA
Source: RNAcentral